RNAcentral lists this ribosomal RNA (621 nucleotides) under uncultured bacterium. RNAcentral describes it as "bacterial SSU rRNA". It matches the Rfam family "Bacterial small subunit ribosomal RNA", at positions 223 to 842 of the family's 1533-position model. The record is from RNAcentral.
GGAUGGGCAUGCGGCGCAUUAGCUAGUCGGCGGGGUAACGGCCCACCGAGGCGACGAUGCGUAGGGGUUCUGAGAGGAAGGUCCCCCACACUGGUACUGAGACACGGACCAGACUCCUACGGGAGGCAGCAGUGAGGAAUAUUGGUCAAUGGGCGGGAGCCUGAACCAGCCAAGUCGCGUGAGGGAAGACGGUCCUAUGGAUUGUAAACCUCUUUUGCCGGGGAGCAACGGGGUCCUUGCGAGGGCCUGAUGAGAGUACCCGGAGAAAAAGCAUCGGCUAACUCCGUGCCAGCAGCCGCGGUAAUACGGAGGAUGCGAGCGUUAUCCGGAUUUAUUGGGUUUAAAGGGUGCGUAGGCGGGCUGUUAAGUCAGCGGUCAAAUGUCGGGGCUCAACCCCGGCCUGCCGUUGAAACUGGUGGCCUCGAGUGGGCGAGAAGUAUGCGGAAUGCGUGGUGUAGCGGUGAAAUGCAUAGAUAUCACGCAGAACUCCGAUUGCGAAGGCAGCAUACCGGCGCCCGACUGACGCUGAGGCACGAAAGCGUGGGUAUCGAACAGGAUUAGAUACCCUGGUAGUCCACGCAGUAAACGAUGAAUGCUAGCUGUCCGGGGCUUCGGUCCUGG